GGGUGGGGUAGCCUCUCAGGCAGGUAUGAACGGGAAGCGGGAAUCGGAACCGGGUGUUUUGACUGCAACAGACUGGAGACCUGGCCAGUCCCAUUCUCCAUAGUGAGAUGGAGAAACAGGGUUGGAGGGAGGGGACUUCGUCUGGGUCGUUAACGGUGCGGUGAGUGGCUGGGAGGGAGUUUAGCCCCUGACUUCGGGCCGUGGCUCCUGGAAUGUUGCACUGGUGCACAGAGCCGCUUCUGAAGUUCGGUGGACUCGGAUUCGUAUCCUGCCUGGAACAGUUUCUACCUGAGUGACAUAGGGCAAGUCGCUUCCCUUCUCGGAUCCUACUUGUAUCUGAAGACGUGGCACUUAGAAGGAGCUCAGUAGCUCAAUAGCCGCUAGUUUGGACUUUUAUCCAAGGGAUAGUAAAGGGGAUCACUGAUUUUUUGUUGUUGUUGUUGGUGGUGGUGGUGGUGAGAUAGAGUCUUGCUCUGUCGCCUAGGCUGGAGUGCCAUGGCGACAUCUCGGCUCACUGCAACCUCGCCUCUCGGGUUUAAGCAGUUCUCUGCCUCAGCCUCCUGAGUAGCUGGGAUUACAUGCGCCUGCUACCACGCCCGGAUACGCCCAGCUAAUUUUUGUGUUUUUAGUAGAGACGGGGUUUCACCAUCUUGGCCAGGCUGGUCUUGAACUCCUGACCUUGUGAUCCACCCGCUCAGCCUCCCAAAGUGCUGGGAUUACAGGGGUGAGCCACCGAGAGGGACCACUGAUUUUUAAACCUUCAGUUAAACUUGCUUGUGACAUCUUUAAAUAUAAAAUUGUAAAUUUUUUAGUUGGCAGUUUAUGCUGAUGUCCUGGAUUAUGGGUUAAAUUAGAAGGAAAGUUUCAGCAUACAAAUCAAUGACAGUACAUGCAAAAUGUCAGAUGCAAAACUCACAAAGGCAAUCAUCUGUCCCUUGUAACAUCAGUUAAGAUCAUGUAACAUCCGGUCCCUGCUGUAUGUUGAGCUGCCUCCCAAGCCUUUGAUAUUCAUAGACUAAUGCAUUGCUUGCCAUGAGUUUGGUGUGAUUUCCCCCCAUCUUAUGGAUUAAGAAAGUGAAAUUCAGAAAUAAUGACUUGCUCAAGGUCACACAUGCUGAGUUAGACACAGAUCAGUCCUAUGCCCAAAUAUGUGCCCUAACCUACCACCAGCCCGUUUGAAUUAGCAGAGACUGAGCUAUGGGCUCAGCCCACUCCAGCUAAAAAUGUGAAGAAAACGGCCAAGUGCGAUGGUUCAUGCCUAUAAUCCCAGUACUUUUGGAGGCAGGUGGAUCAUGAGGUCAGAAGUUCAGACCAGCCUGGCCAAGAUGGCAAAACCCUGUCUCUACUAAAAAUACAAAAAUUAGCUGGGCACAGUGGCAGGCGUCUGUAAUCCCAGCUACUUGGGGGGCUGAGGCAGAAGAAUUGCUUGAACCUUGGCGACAGGUUGCAGUGAGCCGAGAUCGCACCACUGCACUCCAGCCUGGGUAAUAGAGUGAGACUGCAUCUCAAAAAAAAAAAAAAAGGUGAAGAAAACCUAAGUGGUCAAGACAAGAAUGAUCAAACAGGUCACGUGUGAGGCUCUAAAUGGGAGUCAAGGUGGUGACAGAGCAAGAGCACACCCAUUCUCAGGCAACGUGUUGGUGGAAGGGGCUUGUCAUACAAGGCUCAUCUGCUUUCCUGGUUCCUCUCACUCCCAGGGUGGCAACCAAAACUACAUAUGAGGACCAGCACCAUUUUGGGGCACCAGAGCUUAUAACCUCUUCAUCUCUACCCAGCUGGGGCCAGGGACCACUCUCAGCACCCACCUCAGCAGCUGACAUCAAGGCAGACUUGGGAACCUGGAAGCACUCUGGAGAACCUUUUCCUGAGACAUGGAGCUUUGGGGCCGAAUGCUAUGGCCCCUCCUGUCUGGCCCAGGGAGGAGGGGAGGUAUCCGGGGCUGGACCUUCAGCUCAUGGCAACCCCAUCCACCUCUGGCUGGGUUAUCCAGUGCCACAGAACUGGUCAACCACUGGACAAGGGUCUUUGAGAAGAAAGGUGUCCCUGAGGCCCGGGAAUCCAUUUCAGAGCCUGAGGCCAGCACUUCGGACGCAGCCCUUGACCUCUCAGCAACUACAGUGUAUCCAGGAGCUGAGUAGCCGUCGAUUACAGAGGAUGCCCGUGCAGUACAUCCUUGGAGAGUGGGACUUUCAGGGGCUCAGCCUGAAGAUGAUGCCUCCCGUGUUUAUUCCUCGGCCAGAAACAGAGGAACUGGUUGAGUGGGUGCUGGAAGAGGUGGCCCAGAGGUCCCAUGCUGUGGGAUCCCCAGGCAGCCCCCUCAUUCUGGAGGUGGGCUGUGGAUCGGGAGCCAUUUCCCUCAGCCUGCUGAGCCAGCUUCCCCAGAGCCGAGUGAUUGCUGUGGAUAAGGGGGAAGCGGCCAUCUCUCUGACCCAUGAGAAUGCUCAGAGGCUUCGGUUGCAGGACAGGAUUUGGAUCAUCCACCUUGACAUGACCUCAGAAGGGAGCUGGACACACCUGCCCUGGGGCCCCGUGGACCUGGUCGUCAGCAACCCUCCCUAUGUCUUCCACCAGGACAUGGAACAGCUGGCCCCUGAGAUCCACAGCUAUGAAGACCCCGCAGCCCUGGACGGUGGGGAGGAGGGCAUGGACAUCAUUACCCACAUCCUAGCCCUGGCACCCCGGCUCCUGAAGGACUGUGGGAGUAUCUUCUUGGAAGUGGACCCGAGGCACCUGGAGCUUGUCAGCAGCUGGCUUCAGAGCCGGCCUGAGCUGUACCUUAAUCUUGUGGCUGUGCGCAGGGACUUCUGUGGGAGGCCCCGGUUCCUGCAUAUCCGGAGGUCUGGGCCAUAGCAUGGCUGCCCUGUGGAUGCCUUGUCAGUGCCCCCAGCCUGACCAGAGGGAGGUGGAUGGCACUUUCCAGAACCCAGGCUCCUUUUGAAUGGUUUAAUUUCUCUACUGCCCUGGGCUUCAGCCUUUGUGCAACACUCUUCAUGCCCUGAGCACACACCUUCCCUUUGCCCAGGCAGUGCAGACACUGCCGCCCUUAGGACACCUGCUGUGGGCUCUCCCUGCCUCCCCUGCACCAGUGACUUUCUGUCCCAUGCCUUCAGAAACCUUCUUAUCCCCCUCAUCUCUGGAGGCCCCUGUGGGUCUGGCAUACCCAGGUUUAGUAAAUGUCUACCAGUAAGUUGACUGCAUGCAUUUUCUAGAAUAGAGCUGAGACUUCCCAUGUGGCCCACAUCUGACCUGGCGGCCCAUGUAUUCCGGUCAUUAGGGAGAGAGAGCCAUGAGGACCUGGCCUUCUGCCCAACCCAGGCAGCUGUUCAAGUUGAGCGAUGGCUGGUUCGAAGACUCAAGUGCACCUGAUCCCUGUGCGGCAGCCACACCAGAACAGGCUGUCCUUGGCGGCCGUAGGGGCAAGCGCCAGGUUUCCUGGAGCUCUUGGCUUCAGCCAGCCCCCAGCCAGAGUGCUGGCUAGGACAGCAACCUGAUCUCCCCCUCAUGACCUUCUGCCGUGGACAAGCCCCCUGAAACUGGAUUUGGGACUGUCAAAGCAAAUCAACCCCUGCUGUGGUAGGCCGAACAAUGACCCCCCCGCCCCCAAAAUGGCAGUGUCUUAAUCACCUAAACUGAAACAUGUGACUGUUACCUUCACAUAGCAAAAUGGACUUUUCAGUUGUGAUUAAGGAUCUUGAGAUAGAAAGAGUAUCCUGGAUUUUUCAGGUAAACUGAGUAUAACCACAAGGGCCUCUGUAAAGAACGAGGCAGGAGUGUCAGAGUGAUGGAAGAAAACGUAACAAUAGAAGCAGAGGUUAGAGUGAUGCAAUUGUUGGAGGAAGAGCCAUGAGCCAAGGAAUGCAGACAGCCUCUUCUCCCCUGGGGCCUCAGGAAGAACGCAGUCCUGCCAACACCUUGAAUUUAAUUUGAAACUGAUUUCAGAUUGCUGACCUCCAGAAUAGUAAGAUGAUAAAUUUGUGUUGUUUGUUAUUUUCAGCCACUAAAUGUGUGAUAAUUUGUUACAGCAGCCACAGGAAACAAAUGCAGAUUGUGGGGCCUAAAGUGAGUGCUGCUGUAACGCAUGCCUACAAAUUGAAAUGGCUUUGGAAUUGCAUUAUGGAAAUGGGCAGAGGCUGGAAGAAUUUUGAGGAUCAUGAUAAAUUGCCUCAACCACUUCUUCUCUGAUAGGUGGUGUGGCCAGGGGAACACUUCCUCAACCUUCAGGCCUAAACUGCCCAGGCCACCUUUUUAAACUAAUAUUUGGAGAUAGGUGUCCCUUUCCCAGAGUGAGAAGACUGGAAGACUGACCAGUAUGGACCCCAGAAGGGAGUGGGUGAGGAAUGGGACUGGGAUGUGAGGAGAAAGUGCAAGGCUGGCCUCCAUGAUCCAUCUCCAGAGACUGGGUCCAGAGAGGACCUCAGAGACUGGGACCAAGCCUGUUCCUGCUCUCCUGUGGAGUUAUGUGAUAGGCCCAGGACCCCUUGGGUGUGUGAGGAUGGGCAGGGGCCCUGUACUCUCUGGGUUGCAGGUACUGCAUCUGUGAAAUGAGCACAGCAGCCCCUGAUUUUGAGCUGAUGGGCCUAGCCCCUCCGUGUAAGCCAUAGGCCUGAGCAGAGCUGUGUCACUAUUCUGCUCCUGUGGUGGAAUGGGGCCAUCCCUGGGGUUCUCAAUCUCCUGGUCCCCAAAACUGAAGCGGCCAACUGGUGCCCUCAGCCCUGUCCCUGUCCAGGCUGGGACUAGGACCUCCCUCUCCAGGGGUACUAAGGGACUCUGGAGACACCAUCCCACCUGGCCAAGGCUUGGGGCUCCUAAAGCCAGUCCUAACCCAGGAGUCACAUGGAGAGCUACUGGGAGGCCAGACAUGGGUCUUACGCUGGGUUUCAGAACAGAAGCUAGGAGACAGACAGCAUAGACACCUGUGUUCAGGCUUGGCCUAAAUCACCUGAAUACACUUUGGAUGAAGCCAGGAGGGCCUAUGUAUACUGGAAUGGGUGGAUCAUGGCAAGAUGUAUGUUCAAUCCCUGAUCUUUUUUCCCAGUGAGGAAUGGGGCUUACUUGAAGUAACACAGCACUUGACUCCUGACUCCCAAUAUUGUGCUCUCAUCUCCCAUUGCUUCCAACGGCCUGUGGUUAGUUAAUUGAGUUAAUUAGGGGGUGCUUAUAUGGCUGUCCAUGUAGCUACUAAACCCAGGGAUUCUGGCCCAUAAAGCCCACUGGGCUAGUUUCGUGGGCAGAUAACAGCCACAUUAGGCCAACUGUAGCCCCUGGGUGUGUGGACAGAUCUGGGUCCCAUCUGAAGCUCUGGUAGCUGUGGGAGGACAGCAGGAUUUCCCUCUUGCAGAAUGAGUGGGUGCCUUACCCUUUGAGGGAACUGGCUGUACAGCCCCCAGCCUCUGCCCCCCAGGGCCCUCCUGAGGUAUCUGGAAAGACCUUUGGGAUCUUUAGCCUCAUAACCAGGAAUCAGAAGCUUCCAAUUCUAGGGCCCCCUUUUCUUCCAAAGACCACCUCACACAUACAACAGUCCUACAGGAAAAUGGACAGGAAAGGCCAAUUUUACAGCUCACAUAGUGGGAAAGGCAGGGAAGCCUACUUCAGUGUCACUGAAAGCCCUGAACUGAGCUGACCUUUUAGGUACCUGCUCCAGCCAUGCCUAAAGCGGGAGAGUGAGAGAGCUCAGAGUAGCCCUGCCCCAUGGUAGAUAGGCCUGGCUAAGUGGCCCCUUUCCCAGGGGCUGUGGUCUUUUCCAGACGCUCUGCCUCUCAGAGCAGAGGAUGUCACCUUAUUGCCCCCUCUUGUACUAGGUCUGCAGCCCUCUUCUGGGGCAUGUGGCUUGGGAAAUGGAGGGAUCAGAUUGUUGGUACCUGAAGUACUCAGAGAUCCUUGUGCUACAAAUGAGGAAACUGAGGCUUAGCAGGAUGGGGCAGGGCUAGGGCAGAAAGGAAGCUGCCAGUCCGUCCUUUGCCACCUGAAGACCCCCACCCUACCUUGCUUUCCAGGAAUAGGCUGGCUUGCCUGGAGAGGCGGCCAAGUCCCUCUGCUGUUCCUGGAAAUCAAUGUGAGGCUAAGCUUUGUGAGCUAGCAGAGCAAACCCUGAGCUGGCACUACAUGAGCCUUCGUUGCUCUCGUACCUCAAAGCUAGGUGAGGGAUCUGGGCAGCCCUGCCUGGCCUUCCUCCACCUCCUUGCCUUUUGAGCUCCUGCUAGGCACUGGGCCACAAGCAGCUGCUUUGCAUUUAUUGGUUUUAAAUCUCACACAACCCUAUAGUUAGGGGUUAUUUAUUUUAUUUUAUUUUAUUUUGAUUUUGCUAGAGAUGAGGUCUUGUGUUGCCCAGACUGGGCUCAAACUCCUGGGCUCAAGUGAUUCUCCUGCCUUCGCCUCCCAAGAAGCUGAGACUGUAGGUGCCCAUCACUGUACCCGACAGAUGGGGGUUUGGGUUUUGUUCAUUAUUUGUUUUUUUGAGACAGGGUCUUACUCUGUCUCCCAGGCUGGAGUACUUUGGCAUGAUUAUAGCUCAGCUCACUGUAGCCUCGACUGUUAGGCUCAAGCAAUCCUCCCACCUCAGCCUCCUGAGUAGCUGGGAUUACAAGUGUGAACCACCCUGCCUAGCUAAUUUUUAUUUUAUUUUUUGUAGAAACGGGGUCUUGCUAUGUUGCCAGGCUGACACAUGGGCUUUUAAAUUGUCUCCACAUUGCAGUUGAGGAUACCAACACUGAGCAGGGAGCAGUUAUGGGUCAGGUUGCACAGCUGGACUGGAAGGGAGGAUGAGGCUGCCAUUGGUGCCCAUUUGACUCUCAGAGACACUGAGGCCAACAUAACUAGGUCUUGGGCUGUCCCCUGCAGAGCUUAGUGCAGAGGUCACUUGGGCUUGUGGACCCUUGGAACAGGAGCAGGGGUUUCCAGGGCUGUCCCUAGAGGGCUUUCUAGACGACCUGCAGUUGCUCCUGGGUGCAUCUCUCAAGCCCUACUAUGUGUCAGGCACCAGGGGAAUGAUACCAAGUGGAGGGUCCUGUAGAAUAUGGUGCAUCCUGUGCCAAGUACUUCCAGGGUUAUCUUACUCAACCUCCAUGACAUCCUGAGAGAUGGAGGCUGUGAACCCCUUCAUUAUACUGAAAAGGAAACAAAUAGGCCAAGAAACUUGCUCAUAUGCUGGCUGAGCUGUGGUUCUGACACAGGUUGAGUGACCUGGAGCCGGAGGCCUUGGUCAUCACACCAGGCUUGAGGAGGGGUAGACAGGACAGCCAUAUACCAGGCAGUAGGGACAGUCUGGGCAAAAGCCUGGAGUCCUGCAGACACAUGGGUAGGGAUGUGUAGGGUUGAGGUAGUGCUGGGGGGGGGGUGGGUGCCCUUGGCUGAGCUCUGAAUGACUUUCUGGGGCCCAGGGACCUAAAGAGGUUUUUUGAGCUGAGUUACAGGGGUAGAGAGACAUUGAGGCUGCUCUUUCUGGCUGUCAGAAAAAGGGGGCUGGGGCAGGAGGCUGCAACUGUCCAGGGUGUGGAGGCAGCUGGGAUCUGUAGUAGUGGCAUCAGAUAUUCUGGGGCAUAAGUGACUCAAAACCAUUGCUGAGGGGUUGGAUGGGGGAUGGCCAGGACCAGAAUGGGCCCAGUUAUCUGAUUGGGACCUGGGGUAAAUGGGGCCAUCCUGAGUUGGAGACUGGGUGCUGGGGAGAGUUGGGAGUUUGAGUGUGGGAUGCCUUCAGAAUAUUCUAGAGGCAGUGUCAGGGCAUCUGGAGAUGCAAAUGUGACCAUGUGGGGACACAGUCCAAAGGCAGCCCUUGAAGUGGAGUUGGGAAGACCACUCUCCUGGGCCUUAGUGCUGGCAACAACAGUACCGGGCACCUGGCACUAGUUUACACACUGUCAUAAAUCCAUCUGAGCACAUCAGGGACCCCUUGUUUGGUCCAUUGUACGGAUGAAGGGACUGAGCUCUUCAUCAACUUGCCCAAGGUUACAUACAGCUAGCAACUGGCUGUGCUGGACUUUGAACCUAGUCCUCUGACAUCCCAGCCAGGAGAAGGGUGAGCAGGCUGCAGAGGCCAAAUGCAGCCCAGAACCUCAACCCCCACAGGGGCCACAGGAUCUAGUGAGGUGCCCCACAGCCAACGUGGGCUUCAGGGUGAAGGAAAAAGUGAUGAAUCAAACAGAAAGCAGCAGAUGCAGAUGAGCUCUCUCCCCAGCAGGCCAGGCACCAGAUUUUCACGCCCACAGUAAAAGGGCCAGGCAGAGCGCUAGGUGUGGGGCAGGAGAGGGUAGUGAAAGUGCUUGCCGCUGAACCCAGACUCUGAUGUACUCCGGAUAUGGUGGCACGGACUGACAGACACCCAGCCCAGUUCCACACUGAAAGUUGACUGCAUCUCAGCAUGUGAGGAUAUGAAGUUUGCCUUGUCUGGGGGAGCAUUUUAGGUCCCUAGGCCUGUGAGAUUCUGGGAUGAGGCACCAAAUGAAUGAGUCUAAAAACCCUUGUUGAAGACACUCCACAGCUCAAGAACUGACCAUUGCUCCCUACUCUCUUGGCCUGCACUGAAAGCCACUGUUUCUUCAUCAUUCUGCUCAGCCCUCCUGCCUCAGCCCCAUAGAGCUUUGGAGCUCCUUCUUUCAAAGCACAUUUCAUGUGCAACUCAAAUGUGUAUUUUAAAAAAGAUAAAGUGAGCAUCUCGUUAGCAUAAAUGUAUUUUGUAAGUGCAAAUUCUUUCUUAGCGUGAGAGGCAAAAAGCAGUGAACACAAAUGUUUGAACUCGGGGCUGGGAUGGGAGUUGUAGUCUUAUGUUGGUCUCAAUGUCCAGUUUCUUUCAGUGUUUGAUUUUGGUGGCAAGGGACUAAGUGACUGCUCAUUCUCACAGGUGAGUGUUUACAAUUCCUAGCUCUGUCUGAAACCCACCUUGCAGUCUUUUUGAUUUACAGAGACAGUAAGAGAAGCCUUAUUUCAAGCUUAGCACAAACCCUGUUCUCUGCGCACAUAGGAAGGAUUCUAAUGUGUCAUAAUUUGGUUCUGUGCCCAUUUGAGUCUGUAUGUGGUUUUCAAAAUUGGGUUUUCAAUAAUUAAAAAUAUGAGCUGGGCAUGGUGGCGCAUGCCUGUGGUCCCAGCUACUCAGGAGACUGAAGUAGGAGGAUUACUUGAGCCCAAGAGUUUGAGACAGCAGUGAGCUAUAAUCUUGCCACUGCACUUCAGCCUGGACAUUAGAGUGAGACCCUGUCUCUAAAAAAGUAAUUUUAGGCUGGGCAUGGUGGCUCAUGCCUGUAAUCCCAACACUUUGGGAGGCCGAGGCAGGCAGAUCACUUGAGGUCAGGAGUUCAAGACCAGCCUGGCCAACAUGGUGAAACCCCAUCUCUACUAAAAAUACAAAAAUUAGCCAGGUGUCGUGGCUUAUGCCUGUUAUCCCAGCUACUUCAGAGGCUGAGGCAGGAGAAUCACUUGAACCCAGGAGGCGGAAGUUACAGUGAGCUGAGAUCAUGGCAUUGCACUCCAGCCUGGGCAACAAGAAUGAAACUCCAUCUCAAUAAUAAUAAUUUUAAAAAAUAUAUUUUAAAAAUGAAAGAAAAGAAAAGGAAGAAGGGAGGAGGAAGCAAGAAAGAGAGAAAGGGCUGGAUGCGGUGGCUCACACCUGUAAUCCCAGCACUUUGGGAGGCUGAGGCAGGUGGAUCAACUGAGGUCAGGAGUUCAAGACCAGCCUGGCCAACAUGGUGAAACCCUGUCUCUACUAAUAAUACAAAAAUUAGCUGGGUGUGGUGGCUCAUGCCUGUAAUUCACGAGGCUGAGGCAGGAGAAUCACCUGAACCCGGGAGGCGGAGGUUGCAGUGAGCUGAGAUCGUGACACUGCACUCCAGUGUGGGCAACAGAGCCAGACUCUGUCUCAAAAAAAGGGAAGUGAAAGUAAGGAAGAAGAAAAGAAAGGGAUGGAACUCCUGUGAGGUGGUUGAUGCCCCAUAUGACCAUUUCCUCCCCGGAGGUCUGCCCUGACAGCUCCAGCCUCCACAGUCUAAGGCUCCCAGCACUCCCACCCAGCAUCUGUCACAGCAAAUGAAUCUGGGCUACAUGCUCCUGGGAGCCCCACCUGACUCCAGUAUGGAUGCUCUAAGUGCUCCAUCCUGGAUCUGGGGCAGAGGGGGAAGCCCCAAGCAGUAGACAUGGGCUAGGGGCUUCCCCAGGCUGUUGGUGGUGCCUCCAGGGGUGGAAAGACUGGGGAACCCUGUGCCCCUGAAAGCCCGGAGUUUCUCUGGUUCUGGGUACCUUCAUUUCUGGGAACUGAUUGUGCUUUGGAAAAAGAAAUGAGAAGCAAACCCUAGGGCCCCAGUAUCACCCCUCCUUUCUGUCUUCCUUCCUCUGUCACAGCCCAGAGCUCAGUACCUCAGCCUCCCUUAGGGCCACUGGGUGGGGCAGAAUUCAAGGUCAGGCAAGGACACAAUAUCUGGAACGAGUCCUCCUUUCCUGUCAACAGCCACCGUGAGGGGUCCUGGGAUUGCUGAGGGCUGAGACCACCUUCCCAGUGUUGGGAAAGGGGUAACUGAGGCUCUCAUCUGACCUGUCUCACCUCCUAUCUGCAGGCCCAUCACUCCUGCACAGUCGUUUUUUGAGUACCUACUGUAAGCCAGGCCCAGGAGGUCAGAUGGUUCAGGUGGGGCCCUGCCCUUGCAGAACUCAUGGACUUGGACAUAGACUCCUCCUAACAGGUUCCUCAUGAGUGGCUGGGUCCUUCCGAUUUUUCUGGUCAGCAGUGGAGAGCCAUGGGAGUAUCACCCCUCAUGAUACCAUGUACACCCCUCAUGGUCCAUGUCUAUAAUCACAGGUGUCCAAGCAGGGCUUCCCUUGCAUGGGGGAGCUCCAGGCUCUAGAAACCAGGUCAGGGUUGCAUGCACACACACACACGUGUGGGUGUGUGUGUGUGUGUGUGGUAUCACCCUGCCUUAGAAGCCCAACCACUGUCUCCAAGUCAUGGGAGUGCAGAGCCCAUGUGAACUCAAACACUGUGCCCCAUUUCAUAGAAAAGAGGGUCAGAGAUCAGAGUGGGCCCAUGACUUGCCCAGUCAUGCAGCAAGGUGGGGAAGGUCUGGGAGGGAAAUGAACCAGAGCGUAUCCACAUCCCUGUCCUUUUUGGCUUCGUGUUUGGAGCUUGGCACCCCCUGAGAACCACACUCCAUUGACCUCUGGGAAAUAGAGGCUGGUGAUCCUCCCAGCAGACCCACCUGGGGAACUAACCACAGGCUCCUCCCAAGCUUCACUGACCAACCCCAGGAUUUCCCACAACACCAGUGCUUUGCUUGGGCUGUGCUGGGCACCUGGAACAAAUUCUUCCUGCCACUCUCCCUCCCUGAUUCCUUGAAUAAAAUCCAGCUUUCCAAAUUUUA
Non-coding RNA from Callithrix jacchus (white-tufted-ear marmoset), 11336 nucleotides. The record is from RefSeq and is a predicted model, not a curated record. NCBI's taxonomy places the organism in Eukaryota, Metazoa, Chordata, Mammalia, Primates, Cebidae.